UACGUAGGGGGCGAGCGUUGUCCGGAGUUACUGGGCGUAAAGGGCACGCAGGCGGUGCGGCGCGUUUCGCGUGACAGCGGGGGGCUUAACUCUCCGAGGAUGCGAAAGACGGCGGCACUUGAGGGCCAGAGAGGGACACGGAAUUCCGGGUGGAGUGGUGAAAUGCGUAGAGAUCCGGAGGAACACCGAAGGCGAAGGCAGUGUCCUGGCUGGUGACUGACGCUGAGGUGCGAAAGCUAGGGGAGCGAACGGG
Molecule: ribosomal RNA, 253 nt
Filed under: uncultured bacterium
Lineage: Bacteria
Description: partial 16S ribosomal RNA
Rfam family: Bacterial small subunit ribosomal RNA
Source: RNAcentral